This 450-nucleotide ribosomal RNA is filed under the name uncultured bacterium. RNAcentral describes it as "partial 16S ribosomal RNA". It matches the Rfam family "Bacterial small subunit ribosomal RNA", at positions 354 to 796 of the family's 1533-position model. The record is from RNAcentral.
GUGGGGAAUAUUGGACAAUGGGCGAAAGCCUGAUCCAGCCAUACCGCGUGUGUGAAGAAGGUCUUCGGAUUGUAAAGCACUUUAAGUUGGGAGGAAGGGCAGUAAGUUAAUACCUUGCUGUUUUGACGUUACCGACAGAAUAAGCACCGGCUAACUUCGUGCCAGCAGCCGCGGUAAUACGAAGGGUGCAAGCGUUAAUCGGAAUUACUGGGCGUAAAGCGCGCGUAGGUGGUUUUGUAAGUUGGAGGUGAAAUCCCCGGGCUCAACCUGGGAACUGCCUCCAAAACUGCAUGACUAGAGUACGGUAGAGGGUAGUGGAAUUUCCUGUGUAGCGGUGAAAUGCGUAGAUAUAGGAAGGAACACCAGUGGCGAAGGCGACUACCUGGACUGAUACUGACACUGAGGUGCGAAAGCGUGGGGAGCAAACAGGAUUAGAAACCCCAGUAGUCC